This is a transfer RNA of Sclerotinia sclerotiorum, 102 nucleotides long. It matches the Rfam family "tRNA". Rfam says of the family: Transfer RNA (tRNA) molecules are approximately 80 nucleotides in length. Lineage: Eukaryota; Fungi; Ascomycota; Leotiomycetes; Helotiales; Sclerotiniaceae. The record is from Rfam.
GGUCGCUUAGCUCAGUUGGUUAGAGCGUGGUGCUAAUAUGUUCUCUGUACAAGCAGUGAGAUUUAAACGCCAAGGUCGCGAGUUCGACCCUCGUAGUGAUCA